CCUCACUUUGCCUCUGCCUCUUCUCUUACUGUCGAGAGCGCCUCUGCGUGUGAAUUUUACAGAAAACUUUGAUCUUCACAGCUUGAUGGAAUAAAGAAGUGCUCAAUAGCAGAGACCGUCUUGCGAUGGCAUCAACAUGUUGAGCGGCUGUCGCAAUCAGAAGAAAUAGCUUGAGACGCAAUCAGUCACUGACUUUCUCUGUCCAACAGACAAUCCUUAGAUCCCUAUGAGAUUUUUAUGAAACGUAAUGGUUUUGUCCAUGUCUUUCCUCAAGGUUAUCAGUAAUGUGUAGAUUCCUGAAUCACCAUAGGGCCGCUGUUUCGCCCAUGGAUAGAGUAAAUGAAAAAGAUGCUAUCAGAUCCAAACACUGGAUCACAUCAUGUGUGUUCAACGUGCAACAGUCUACAGUAUGGUGGCAGUAGUUAAUGUGAUUGACACAUCCUGUAAAACUACAGUAUAUCUAACAGACAUACUGAGAUAAUAUUGUCUUUUGAUAGCUGAAAAUUGCUUUUUAAGAAUAUGCAGGUUUUUAAAUGCAUAACAUGUCAAGUUUGUCGGAAAAAAAAUAAAUAAAACAAAAUAUGUUGA
Molecule: long non-coding RNA, 588 nt
Organism: Acanthopagrus latus (yellowfin seabream)
Lineage: Eukaryota; Metazoa; Chordata; Actinopteri; Spariformes; Sparidae
Exons: 2
Source: RefSeq, a predicted model, not a curated record